RNAcentral lists this ribosomal RNA (775 nucleotides) under uncultured Neocallimastigales. Its description in RNAcentral is "partial large subunit ribosomal RNA". It matches the Rfam family "Eukaryotic large subunit ribosomal RNA", at positions 24 to 635 of the family's 3401-position model. The record is from RNAcentral. Lineage: Eukaryota; Fungi; Neocallimastigomycota; Neocallimastigomycetes; Neocallimastigales.
UAUGUGAUCGUCUCUCGCAUAUCAAUAAGCGGAGGAAAAGAAACUAACAAGGAUUCCCUUAGUAACGGCGAGUGAAGCGGGAAGAGCUCAAAUUUGAAAUCUUCAAGGUUUUACCUUGACGAAUUGUAGUUUAAAGAAGUGUUUUCUGUUGAAGUUUUGGUAAAAGUUCUUUGGAAUAGGACAUCAUAGAGGGUGAGAAUCCCGUAUUUGACCAUUAUUUUCAGCUGUGUGAUACACUUUCAAAGAGUCGGAUUGUUUGGGAAUGCAGUCCAAAAUGGGUGGUAAAUUUCAUCUAAAGCUAAAUAUUGGCGAGAGACCGAUAGCGAACAAGUACCGUGAGGGAAAGAUGAAAAGAACUUUGAAAAGAGGGUUAAACAGUACGUGAAAUUGUCAAAAGGGAAGCGUUUGACACCAGUGUUGUUUUCUCGAAAAUCAAUUAAAAAGAGUUUAGAUUUUGUUGUGUAUUGACCUUAACAGCUUGCAUUUCAAUUUUCUUGCUUUUUUUAGUGCACUUUUCGUUUAACAAGUCAACAUCAGUUUCUUUUGUUGUAAAAAGGUCAUUGGAAGGUGGCUUUCUUUUCGGAGAAAGUGUUUAUAGCCUUUGACUCCUGCAAUCGGAGAGACUGAGGUCUGCAGCGUAGAUCCUUCGGGGUUAGAUACAUUUGUGCUAAGUUAUAGCUUUUUAUAGACAACUUGUUGACUAUGAUUAGUCUUGUAGCUUACUCGCUUAUGCUAUUUUACCUACGCUUAGGAUGUUGAAGAUGUAGCACAUCAU